This 670-nucleotide ribosomal RNA is filed under the name uncultured Lachnospiraceae bacterium. Its description in RNAcentral is "bacterial SSU rRNA". It matches the Rfam family "Bacterial small subunit ribosomal RNA", at positions 48 to 730 of the family's 1533-position model. The record is from RNAcentral. Lineage: Bacteria; Bacillati; Bacillota; Clostridia; Lachnospirales; Lachnospiraceae.
UUAACACAUGCAAGGUCGAACGAAGAGAAGAGAAGCUUGCUUUUCUGAUCUAGUGGCGGACGGGUGAGUAACACGUGAGCAAUCUGCCUUUCAGAGGGGGAUACCGAUUGGAAACGAUCGUUAAUACCGCAUAACAUAAUUGAACCGCAUGAUUUGAUUAUCAAAGAUUUAUCGCUGAAAGAUGAGCUCGCGUCUGAUUAGCUAGUUGGUAAGGUAACGGCUUACCAAGGCGACGAUCAGUAGCCGGACUGAGAGGUUGAUCGGCCACAUUGGGACUGAGACACGGCCCAGACUCCUACGGGAGGCAGCAGUGGGGAAUAUUGCACAAUGGAGGAAACUCUGAUGCAGCGAUGCCGCGUGAGGGAAGAAGGUUUUAGGAUUGUAAACCUCUGUCUUCAGGGACGAAAAAUGACGGUACCUGAGGAGGAAGCUCCGGCUAACUACGUGCCAGCAGCCGCGGUAAUACGUAGGGAGCGAGCGUUGUCCGGAAUUACUGGGUGUAAAGGGAGCGUAGGCGGGAUCGCAAGUCAGAUGUGAAAACUAUGGGCUUAACCCAUAAACUGCAUUUGAAACUGUGGUUCUUGAGUGAAGUAGAGGUAAGCGGAAUUCCUAGUGUAGCGGUGAAAUGCGUAGAUAUUAGGAGGAACAUCAGUGGCGAAGGCGGCUUACU